RNAcentral lists this ribosomal RNA (2232 nucleotides) under Escherichia coli. RNAcentral's name for it is "bacterial LSU rRNA". It matches the Rfam family "Bacterial large subunit ribosomal RNA", at positions 594 to 2812 of the family's 2925-position model. The record is from RNAcentral. Lineage: Bacteria; Pseudomonadati; Pseudomonadota; Gammaproteobacteria; Enterobacterales; Enterobacteriaceae. RNAcentral also lists the same sequence under 9 other names.
UGACUGCGUACCUUUUGUAUAAUGGGUCAGCGACUUAUAUUCUGUAGCAAGGUUAACCGAAUAGGGGAGCCGAAGGGAAACCGAGUCUUAACUGGGCGUUAAGUUGCAGGGUAUAGACCCGAAACCCGGUGAUCUAGCCAUGGGCAGGUUGAAGGUUGGGUAACACUAACUGGAGGACCGAACCGACUAAUGUUGAAAAAUUAGCGGAUGACUUGUGGCUGGGGGUGAAAGGCCAAUCAAACCGGGAGAUAGCUGGUUCUCCCCGAAAGCUAUUUAGGUAGCGCCUCGUGAAUUCAUCUCCGGGGGUAGAGCACUGUUUCGGCAAGGGGGUCAUCCCGACUUACCAACCCGAUGCAAACUGCGAAUACCGGAGAAUGUUAUCACGGGAGACACACGGCGGGUGCUAACGUCCGUCGUGAAGAGGGAAACAACCCAGACCGCCAGCUAAGGUCCCAAAGUCAUGGUUAAGUGGGAAACGAUGUGGGAAGGCCCAGACAGCCAGGAUGUUGGCUUAGAAGCAGCCAUCAUUUAAAGAAAGCGUAAUAGCUCACUGGUCGAGUCGGCCUGCGCGGAAGAUGUAACGGGGCUAAACCAUGCACCGAAGCUGCGGCAGCGACACUGUGUGUUGUUGGGUAGGGGAGCGUUCUGUAAGCCUGUGAAGGUGUGCUGUGAGGCAUGCUGGAGGUAUCAGAAGUGCGAAUGCUGACAUAAGUAACGAUAAAGCGGGUGAAAAGCCCGCUCGCCGGAAGACCAAGGGUUCCUGUCCAACGUUAAUCGGGGCAGGGUGAGUCGACCCCUAAGGCGAGGCCGAAAGGCGUAGUCGAUGGGAAACAGGUUAAUAUUCCUGUACUUGGUGUUACUGCGAAGGGGGGACGGAGAAGGCUAUGUUGGCCGGGCGACGGUUGUCCCGGUUUAAGCGUGUAGGCUGGUUUUCCAGGCAAAUCCGGAAAAUCAAGGCUGAGGCGUGAUGACGAGGCACUACGGUGCUGAAGCAACAAAUGCCCUGCUUCCAGGAAAAGCCUCUAAGCAUCAGGUAACAUCAAAUCGUACCCCAAACCGACACAGGUGGUCAGGUAGAGAAUACCAAGGCGCUUGAGAGAACUCGGGUGAAGGAACUAGGCAAAAUGGUGCCGUAACUUCGGGAGAAGGCACGCUGAUAUGUAGGUGAAGUCCCUCGCGGAUGGAGCUGAAAUCAGUCGAAGAUACCAGCUGGCUGCAACUGUUUAUUAAAAACACAGCACUGUGCAAACACGAAAGUGGACGUAUACGGUGUGACGCCUGCCCGGUGCCGGAAGGUUAAUUGAUGGGGUCAGCGCAAGCGAAGCUCUUGAUCGAAGCCCCGGUAAACGGCGGCCGUAACUAUAACGGUCCUAAGGUAGCGAAAUUCCUUGUCGGGUAAGUUCCGACCUGCACGAAUGGCGUAAUGAUGGCCAGGCUGUCUCCACCCGAGACUCAGUGAAAUUGAACUCGCUGUGAAGAUGCAGUGUACCCGCGGCAAGACGGAAAGACCCCGUGAACCUUUACUAUAGCUUGACACUGAACAUUGAGCCUUGAUGUGUAGGAUAGGUGGGAGGCUUUGAAGUGUGGACGCCAGUCUGCAUGGAGCCGACCUUGAAAUACCACCCUUUAAUGUUUGAUGUUCUAACGUGGACCCGUGAUCCGGGUUGCGGACAGUGUCUGGUGGGUAGUUUGACUGGGGCGGUCUCCUCCUAAAGAGUAACGGAGGAGCACGAAGGUUGGCUAAUCCUGGUCGGACAUCAGGAGGUUAGUGCAAUGGCAUAAGCCAGCUUGACUGCGAGCGUGACGGCGCGAGCAGGUGCGAAAGCAGGUCAUAGUGAUCCGGUGGUUCUGAAUGGAAGGGCCAUCGCUCAACGGAUAAAAGGUACUCCGGGGAUAACAGGCUGAUACCGCCCAAGAGUUCAUAUCGACGGCGGUGUUUGGCACCUCGAUGUCGGCUCAUCACAUCCUGGGGCUGAAGUAGGUCCCAAGGGUAUGGCUGUUCGCCAUUUAAAGUGGUACGCGAGCUGGGUUUAGAACGUCGUGAGACAGUUCGGUCCCUAUCUGCCGUGGGCGCUGGAGAACUGAGGGGGGCUGCUCCUAGUACGAGAGGACCGGAGUGGACGCAUCACUGGUGUUCGGGUUGUCAUGCCAAUGGCACUGCCCGGUAGCUAAAUGCGGAAGAGAUAAGUGCUGAAAGCAUCUAAGCACGAAACUUGCCCCGAGAUGAGUUCU